CCAACCUCGGAUUUUGGAAAUGAUUUUAUGGACUCCGUCACUGAAGGCUGGUGACCCUGAAGACGUUUCGCAUGUCGAAGAAGUAUGUGUUGAGGGCCUGCUGUGUGCCAUGUGUGGCUCCAGGCCCCGGAGAGCCAGCAGCGCAGAAGUCCCCAAGCUCGCCGAGCUACUAUUGGGUUCAGUGUUCUUCUUCACAGUGAGGGGGCUGUCGGGGUCCCGAGGGGCAAGUCACCUGCCUAAGCUCUCAAGGUGACCAACUGGCAGAGCUGAUCUUAGAAGCUGGGCCUCUUCCGUCCUGGACCCCGCCUGCUUCCAGCCGCUGCAUCUCGUGAAGGAGAUUCAUCUGCAGCCGAUUUUAACCUUAGCUGGGAUUUCGGCACUUCAGCUAGAUAAAUAAGGUCCUCACUGGAGAGAUUUCUGGAAAUGAGUGCAAAAAAUGAUGUUUCUUUAACUUCAGAUGUCCCACUGAGAGAUUGUAUGUUUCUUCAGAGGCCUGUCCUGUGUUAUCACAGCCAGUGGGAUAAGACUAUAGAGUGGGAAUGGAGGCGGUAGGAGAAAAUGAGGCGGAAGGUCCGGGGAUCUGUAACCGCGGAAAAUUUGCCAGACACGGAAGUCCAGAGGUCUGGGUCCAGAGCCACUUCCCGUCCCUUCCUACCGUGACUUUCACCUCUCUGAGCCUCAGUUUUCCCUCCUGUAAAAUGAAAGAUUGGGUUAGGAUGGCCUCAAAGUUCUUCUCCAGCUCUAAAUUCUUUAAUAAAUCACCCGACUACGCCAUGCAGGCCCACGGGACCCAAGAAGUGAUUCCGGAAAGUGACCGUGGUCCCAGUGGCUUGGAGCACUGAUCACCAUUCCUCUGUGCUCCCUCGGUCCCACCGUAGCACGUGUCCCUUCCCACCAAGGGAACAGUGGUUUUAGUGUGUGUACCUCCUGAAAUGUGUGUGCUCCUGGAGCGCAAGGAUCGUGUGCCGCUCGCCUCUGCACCUCUCUGCAGUACCUGGCCACACACCCGCCCUGGGUUGGCGUUUCAUCCAUGUUUGUAGAAGUGCCUUUAAUUGAGAAGAGACAGAUUUGGGAAGGGAUUUCAAAAGAGGCUGCUGAAAAUGAGCAGCACUUUGAAAGGUUGCUGUGAGAGACGUGGACUGAGGUCACAGCUGGUAAGUGGCAGGUCUGAAGUGCAAGCCCAGGGCUGCCUGACUCCCAGGCCCAUGUUGUCACUCCCUUCACUGUCCCGACCUGCUUUCACUCAUUCAUGGAAGGUGCUAGUGUCAGUGUCACAAGGUGAGGCGUGCAUGCUCUGGAGGCAGACUGUCUGGGCUCGAAUCCCAGCUCUGCCUCUUGAGAGCUGUGUGACCUUGAGCAGGUGUUUUAACCUUUUUGUUAAAAGGUUUGUGACCUGUGAAGCAGGGAUGAUCGUGGCACCGCCCUCCAGGGACUGUUGAAGGAAAACAGGUGAGUAACUGGAGGCCGGAGGGGCCUGGUGACCACCCAGAUGUCUGACUGGUCGCUGGCGGAGUGGGAUCUCGGUCAUCUCGGGCCUCCCCGCGCAGUUCUGCACAUCGCAGGACGCACAAGAGCAGAAGCACCGAGCUCCCUUACAGCACUCGGCGGGUGAAAUGCUCUGUCCAUUUCAGAACCAGGGACGCAGAGGCGCAGCCUGCGCCACACAGGCCACGAGGCACACUCACGGCAGCCAAGUCCUGUUUGUUCUUCAAAGCCUGGCUCCACUGCCACCUCCUCUGAAAUCUCCCGGUCGUUCGGACAGAGGUGGCUGUUCUGACUUCUGGAUUCCUGCGGCUGUCACUUUUUCUCCUUGUGGCGCCCGUCCACCUCACUGCAGUGUGACCUUCCGUGGAGGCCUUUCUUUCCUGCCAGACCACGACUAUCGUGACGGCAGGGACUGUGUCUUCUUUCUCCCCUCUGCCCCAAUGCCCAGCACUGAAUAGCCACUACAUGUUUAUAGAAGGAAGGAAAAAGUUAAUAACGAAUGAGUGAGAAAACUAUACUUCUGUGGGGCCAAUAAGGGAAAAAGCACCAACCUCAUCAGGCUGGUCCCAGAGUCACGCAUCGAAGCGAGGGCAUCAUUAGUGACCUGCUCAAGGUCACGCAGGUAGAAAGUCAUAGAGCUGGGACUUCUCCCUCUCGCCCUUUCUCUCUCCCACUCGGCGCCUCACCAGCACGCCAGGCUCCAGGCCAGGGCACGGCCCACAGGUGGCUUUCAGUAAAACUCUGUGAGAACAAAGUGAACUUUGAAGCAGCUAAGAGCAUAGGAGUCUGACCAAUGCGGGUUCAGAUGCCCCUGGACCACUGACCAGUGGUGCGGUCUGUGUCAACUUAGCCUCUCUCAGCUCAGUUUGUGUAAAGUGGAAGUAACAGCACCUCCAACACCCCCUCGCAGGCUGUUUCUGUGGGGCAUUUGAAGGCUUUCUGACGAACCUAACGCAGAGGUAGGAUGGCGGUUUCCAACACUGAGUGUCUCACCGGCCAGCCUGAUUUGCUGUUCAGAGCAACAGCUGCUUUUCCUUCCUUCUCUCUUGAAAUGCCAUGGCUGGCCUAGGUGACACAUAGCCUUCUGCAUGUAGAGCAUGCAUUUCACCUUCUCCACCAGACCUGUGGGAUGUGUUUUCCCGCCUACUGAAUAGACAGGCCCAUUAUUCACACAAAUCAGUGCUGGUUUGUGUUGCUGCCCUUCGUACUGCUGCAGCCCGAGCUGAGGCUGGGUCCUGGGGGCUCUCCAGGGCACCGCUGCCGCCUGCCAGCACCACAGACCUUUCUCAGGGCCGGCCCGCUCGUCUGCCAGCAGAGCCUGCAGAGGCACAGGGGGAUGGCUUCCGGCGCUAGCCUGCAAUGAGUCACAGACAUCACGGAGGCCCUGGAUGGAGCUGGCAGAUGCCGGGAGCAGACGCCCCUCACAAGUUCCGGUUGUUUUGCCUCCUAGAGAAGAGCGGGGAGUUAUGGGGCCCAAGAGGCAGCACCUCUGCUUUCUGAAAAGGAAGCUAGCGCCGUGGGCUCCACCACGUGCACAGCGGCUGCCCCUCUCAUUACUCACCGGAAAUGAGUUUGAACACUUCACACAGGAAGAUGACUCGCUCCUCCAAGAUGCAGAAAACCUUUCCAAGGAAAUGAUUUGAAGUGUUCAAAUAUUCUGUUUCUUAGUCUGCUUUUCCUUUGUCGAAUUCCUCAUUUUGAGCGGGAGCCUUUAAUCGCACGUUGAUCUGGUUGGAGCAUCCUGUGAACACCUUGGAGGAGUUUCAGUUCGUACUCACACAGUGAUCAUCCUCCCUCUGCAGCUCCUGCCCCUUCGUUUACGCUUCUGCAGAUUGCUAUACAGAGGAUGGGUUUGUCACCGCAGUGGGAAAUAACACAGUGAACAUGUUGCUUUUACAACUGGAAAUGGACAAACAUAAUAAAAACUAACAGCUCACAAUUGUCACGAGUCAGGCUGGAGCACAAGGCAUUGUGGGUCCCUGGCAUGCCUGAAUGACAGGAGGAUGGAACAGGCAGGAUAGGGAAUCGACUGCCGAGCCCCACUCAAGUCAUCUUAGAAACAGGGCAGCCUAGGAGACCCAACGUAGCAGCCAAG
Long non-coding RNA from Equus caballus (horse), 3580 nucleotides. NCBI's taxonomy places the organism in Eukaryota, Metazoa, Chordata, Mammalia, Perissodactyla, Equidae. The record is from Ensembl.